RNAcentral lists this ribosomal RNA (440 nucleotides) under uncultured bacterium. Its description in RNAcentral is "partial 16S ribosomal RNA". It matches the Rfam family "Bacterial small subunit ribosomal RNA", at positions 338 to 795 of the family's 1533-position model. The record is from RNAcentral.
CCUACGGGAGGCUGCAGUGGGGAAUAUUGCACAAUGGGGGAACCCCUGAUGCAGCGACGCCGCGUGAGUGAAGAAGUACUUCGUUAUGUAAAGCUCUAUCAGCAGGGAAGAAAAUGACGGUACCUGAGUAAGAAGCCCCGGCUAACUACGUGCCAGCAGACGCGGUAAGACGUAGGGGGCAAGCGUGAUCCGGAUUUACUGGGUGUAAAGGGAGCGUAGACGGCAGUGCAAGUCUGGAGUGAAAGGCGGGGGCUCAACCCCCGGACUGCUCUGGAAACUGGACGGCUGGAGUGCAGGAGAGGUAUGUGGAAUUCCUAGUGUAGCGGUGAAAUGCGUAGAUAUUAGGAGGAACACCAGUGGCGAAGGCGGCUUACUGGACUGUAACUGACGUUGAGGCUCGAAAGCGUGGGGAGCAAACAGGAUUAGAUACCCGGGUAGUC